GAAUGAUUAAGUGUUCGUUUCAACAGCACAAACAAGGAAGAUUAUCACGGCCCCUGAGCAAGGAUGACAUAGAAAUUCAUGACAUAGUCCCCAUUUUA
Molecule: small nuclear RNA, 98 nt
Organism: Oryctolagus cuniculus (rabbit)
Lineage: Eukaryota; Metazoa; Chordata; Mammalia; Lagomorpha; Leporidae
Source: Ensembl